GAGAGUGGGUAGUCCGCACGAGCGCACCCUAUUUUUAGUUGCUACCAUUUAGUUGGGCACUCUAAAAAAACUGCCAGUGAUAAGCUGGAGGAAGGCGGGGAUGACGUCAAGUCCUCAUGGCCCUUACGUGUUGGGCUACACACGUGCUACAAUGGUACUUACAGUGAGAAGCAAAGAGGCGACUCUAAGCCAAUCCCAAAAAGGUACCUCAGUUCGGAUUGUACUCUGCAACUCGAGUACAUGAAGCUGGAAUUACUAGUAAUCGCGGAUCAGCGCGCCGCGGUGAAUACGUUCCCGGGUCUUGUACACACCGCCCGUCACACCAUGGAAGCUGGGGGUACCUAAAGUCGGUAACCGAAAGGAACUGCCUAGGGUAAAACUGGUAACUGGGGCUAAGUCGUAACAAGGUAACCGUACCGGAAGGUGCGGCUGGAACACCUCCUUUCU
This 447-nucleotide ribosomal RNA is filed under the name uncultured Pelagibacterales bacterium. RNAcentral describes it as "bacterial SSU rRNA". It matches the Rfam family "Bacterial small subunit ribosomal RNA", at positions 1072 to 1533 of the family's 1533-position model. Lineage: Bacteria; Pseudomonadati; Pseudomonadota; Alphaproteobacteria; Candidatus Pelagibacterales. The record is from RNAcentral.